UACAGGGGGUGCAAACGUUGCUCGGAAUUAUUGGGCGUAAAGCGCGCGUAGGCGGCUACUUAAGUCGGAUGUGAAAGCCCCUGGCUCAACUGGGGAAGUGCACCCGACACUGAGUGGCUUGAGUACAAAAGAGGGUCGCGGAAUUCCCGGUGUAGAGGUGAAAUUCGUAGAUAUCGGGAGGAACACCGGUGGCGAAGGCGGCGACCUGGGUUGAUACUGACGCUGAGGCGCGAAAGCGUGGGGAGCAAACAGG
This 253-nucleotide ribosomal RNA is filed under the name uncultured bacterium. RNAcentral describes it as "partial 16S ribosomal RNA". It matches the Rfam family "Bacterial small subunit ribosomal RNA", at positions 524 to 776 of the family's 1533-position model. The record is from RNAcentral.